This 511-nucleotide ribosomal RNA is filed under the name Terrimonas ferruginea. RNAcentral describes it as "bacterial SSU rRNA". It matches the Rfam family "Bacterial small subunit ribosomal RNA", at positions 365 to 876 of the family's 1533-position model. Lineage: Bacteria; Pseudomonadati; Bacteroidota; Chitinophagia; Chitinophagales; Chitinophagaceae. The record is from RNAcentral.
UGGUCAAUGGACGCAAGUCUGAACCAGCCAUGCCGCGUGAAGGAUGAAGGUCCUCUGGAUUGUAAACUUCUUUUAUAGGGGAAGAAACCGGAAAAUUCUUUUUCCGUUGACGGUACCCUGGGAAUAAGCACCGGCUAACUCCGUGCCAGCAGCCGCGGUAAUACGGAGGGUGCAAGCGUUAUCCGGAUUCACUGGGUUUAAAGGGUGCGUAGGUGGGUCUGUAAGUCAGUGGUGAAAUCUCCAAGCUUAACUUGGAAACUGCCGUUGAUACUAUAGGUCUUGAAUGCUGUGGAGGUGAGCGGAAUAUGUCAUGUAGCGGUGAAAUGCUUAGAUAUGACAUAGAACACCAAUUGCGAAGGCAGCUCACUACCCAGAUAUUGACACUGAGGCACGAAAGCGUGGGGAUCAAACAGGAUUAGAUACCCUGGUAGUCCACGCCCUAAACUAUGGAUACUCGACAUACGCGAUACACUGUGUGUGUCUGAGCGAAAGCAUUAAGUAUCCCACCUGG